GGAAGCGUAUCGAAGUGGUUAUAACGGCCCUGACUCGAAAUCAGGUGUACCUCCGGGUACCGUGGGUUCGAAUCCCACCGCUUCCG
RNAcentral lists this transfer RNA (86 nucleotides) under Clostridiales bacterium. RNAcentral's name for it is "tRNA-Ser". It matches the Rfam family "tRNA". Rfam says of the family: Transfer RNA (tRNA) molecules are approximately 80 nucleotides in length. Their secondary structure includes four short double-helical elements and three loops (D, anti-codon, and T loops). The record is from RNAcentral. Lineage: Bacteria; Bacillati; Bacillota; Clostridia; Eubacteriales.